RNAcentral lists this long non-coding RNA (314 nucleotides) under Capsella rubella. RNAcentral's name for it is "long non-coding RNA (CRUB_LNC001162)". The record is from RNAcentral. Lineage: Eukaryota; Viridiplantae; Streptophyta; Magnoliopsida; Brassicales; Brassicaceae.
AUGAUACCAAACAGUUUUUGAUCAAAACCAUUAUGGGGCGAAAUCGUUGGUAUUGUUAUAGAUCGACCGUUGACAAGUUAAAUAACAAUAUAACAUGCACACCUAUAAAAAUGGUCAAUGACUUAAGGUCGCUCGAAGUUCCAAUAAAAGUUUUUUUUUUCUUUUAAUCUCUCUGCUCUUUUAGAAAAAAAAGAGCAAAUACUUCAAGAAUAUACGCAAAAAAGAGCAAAUACUUCAAGAAUACUUCAAAAUCUUAAUGAUGUUUACUUCUUUCCAUACUCGGUAUAUUUGUAGAACUUGUAUGUUGAUGUUUA